This 233-nucleotide unclassified non-coding RNA is filed under the name plant metagenome. RNAcentral describes it as "partial contains small subunit ribosomal RNA, internal transcribed spacer 1, and 5.8S ribosomal RNA". The record is from RNAcentral.
UUUCCGUAGGUGAAUCUGCGGAAGGAUCAUUAUUGGAUUUUGAAACUUCAGGCUGCUGCUGGCUCUCCUCGGAGGGCAUGUGCACGCUUGUUGUCCAUUAUUUCUCCCACUGUGCACAAAUUGUAGACCUUUCAGUAGGCCUAUGUUGUUUUUCACAAUCUCUGAAUGUAAUAGAAUGGUUUUGAAUCUUGGGAAAUACAAUACAACUUUCAGCAACGGAUCUCUUGGCUCUC